UUCAUGUGACUGGUGACUGGUGAGAUG
This 27-nucleotide non-coding RNA is filed under the name Mus musculus (house mouse). Lineage: Eukaryota; Metazoa; Chordata; Mammalia; Rodentia; Muridae. The record is from RNAcentral.